AGAGUGAACGCUGGCGGCAGGCCUAACACAUGCAAGUCGAGCGGCAGCGCGGGGGCAACCCUGGCGGCGAGCGGCGGACGGGUGAGGAAUACAUCGGAAUCUACCUUGUUGUGGGGGAUAACGUAGGGAAACUUACGCUAAUACCGCAUACGACCUGAGGGUGAAAGCGGGGGACCGCAAGGCCUCGCGCGACAAGAUGAGCCGAUGUCCGGUUAGCUAGUUGGUGAGGUAAAGGCUCACCAAGGCGACGAUCGGUAGCUGGUC
Molecule: ribosomal RNA, 264 nt
Filed under: uncultured soil bacterium
Lineage: Bacteria
Description: partial 16S ribosomal RNA
Rfam family: Bacterial small subunit ribosomal RNA
Source: RNAcentral